UACGAAGGGGGCUAGCGUUGCUCGGAAUCACUGGGCGUAAAGGGUGCGUAGGCGGGUCUUUAAGUCAGGGGUGAAAUCCUGGAGCUCAACUCCAGAACUGCCUUUGAUACUGAAGAUCUUGAGUUCGGGAGAGGUGAGUGGAACUCCGAGUGUAGAGGUGAAAUUCGUAGAUAUUCGCAAGAACACCAGUGGCGAAGGCGGCUCACUGGCCCGAUACUGACGCUGAGGCACGAAAGCGUGGGGAGCAAACAGG
This 253-nucleotide ribosomal RNA is filed under the name uncultured bacterium. RNAcentral describes it as "partial 16S ribosomal RNA". It matches the Rfam family "Bacterial small subunit ribosomal RNA", at positions 524 to 776 of the family's 1533-position model. The record is from RNAcentral.